AGCCUUGGAAACUUUCAAAAUCCUACAUCUCUGAUAGUCAUAUGAAAAAGUGCUCAACAUCCUUAGUCAUGGGGAAAUGCAAACUGAAUCAUAAUAACAUACCACUAUGCCCUUGCCAGAAAGACUAAAAGAUAAAAGGACGGAUGGCACCAAGAGUGGGCGAGAAGCAGAGCCAUGGGAACUCUCAUACGCUGUUGGUGGGAGCGACAUUGGCACAACCACUCUGGAACACUGAUUGUAUCUACUAACCCUAGUUCCACUCCCAGCAGAAAUGAGGGUGAUGGACCCCAAAGUUACAUACAAGAAUGUUUGUAGCAACUUUAAUUGUCCCAGCCUGGAGACUGCUCACAUCCCCACUGAUGGUACAAGAGAGAGGCACACUGUGGCCUUUUCACACUUUGGGAUAAUAAUACACAGCAAUGGACAACAGACCUCAUGGGUGAGGCUCACAGACAUCAUGUUGACUGAAAGAGCUGCAAAAAUAGUAUACUCGAUUGUAUUCUAUGAAUAGAAUAGACUAGGUAUGACUCCAUUUCUGUGAAGUUCCAGAAUGGGGGUCAUGCCUGGGAGGGCACAUGAAUGACUCACAGUCUUGAUCCGGGGGUGGUGACAUGGGUGUGUACAAAUGGAACUGAAGCCCUAAGAUCUACGCACUUCACAGUUGUUACCGUAUUCCUCAAUAAAAAAGCUUGAAAAUGAAAAAUAACAAAGUACCAAAACCUUACACAGGAUCCCGGCAAGUAAAAAUGAUCACGGUUGAGACCUAUCCUCUCGCUUCCUAUGUCAGGUGGCUCCCGGGGCAUUUCUGUGGAUUAAACUGUAGAAGGCACUGGAAGCCUUUGCUCCGGGGUGAAUGUGGCCUCACAUUCCUGCAGCUGGCCUCAGUGUCCCCUGCAGGAGGGUGGCCCGGCGCGGGGAUCCCAACCCAGCCCUGCCCUGAGGGACACAUCCCCGUUCCUCCAGACCCGCGCCCCUCCAACAGGCUGGUGGGUCGUGGUGCGAGACGACGUCAAUCAGAGAGAAAAUAAAGGAGUGGUGCGCACCACGUAGCCAGGAAGGCACAGAGCUGGGAUCCUACCUGGAACUUGGCAAGUGUCUUACUUCUUGAUGUUGUUUCCAUGACGAGUUCUGUUUCCCUGCUUAGGGCAGAUACCCAGUGGUGAAAAUAACAAUAAGUAAGAAUACUAUCCUAGUUCAACGCAGCUGAGCGCUCAGUCUGUUCUAGGUGUUCUGUUGAGUGCUUUACAAGGAGUCAAUUCUCCUUUAAUCCUUACAGCCGUCGGUGGCAAGUAUCCCUAUUACCUGUUUUACAAAUACUCCAUAUAUGAACUAUCUUUAUUCAUCCCAGCAGUCUACUCACGUAGAUUGAGAAAUAAAAUUCAGGGAAGGCAGGCACCUUGCUGAAGGUCUGCAGAGCUGAUAGGUGGUGGAACAAGGGAUUGAUCAAGGUCAGUUUGACUCUAAAGCCCUGUCUCUUUCCUUUCACCAGGUUUUCUAUAAAUGUCUGCUGUGGACUGAACUGAUGGAAUAAGCAUCCAAAAGGAAUGCCACCGGCUGAAAUGCUGACCCUCAUCACCAAGAUAAAACAUUGCAGGGAUGCAUGAAAAUUACAUUUGGGGAGUAAAUAGGCAGCCCAAGUACAGAGUGAAGAAGACCUGCUUAGAGGUGGCACACAUGAAAACAACUCAAAGGUGCCCAGGGAACAAGCGCCUAUAGGUGGUCUAAACCCCAAAAACCUGCUUCACGAGGAUUACGGGUGUGGCUCCAUCCUGCCCCCUACUUGCCUCAGGUGGUGACCUCCAUUGCAGUCACUGUCAUCCGGGAUCCCAAGUCUCACAGAUCUCUGUCUGGAGAACUCCUGCACAUCCUUCAAGGCCCAGGUGAAAUGUCGCUUCAGAUCCUCCCAAACACAAUGACCCACUCCCGUCCUGUGCUACCCCAGCGCUUUACACACAGCUCUGCGACAGCCUGUGGCCAUUUUGGAAUUGGGGAUACCCAGCGUUCGGAAUUCCUUAGAGCUGGGAUGCUGGGUGUGGCUGUCACAGCAUUGCAGUGCCAGAGUGGCC
Homo sapiens (human) is the source of this 2066-nucleotide long non-coding RNA. Ensembl annotates it as USP2 antisense RNA 1. Its record names the gene USP2-AS1. NCBI's taxonomy places the organism in Eukaryota, Metazoa, Chordata, Mammalia, Primates, Hominidae. The record is from Ensembl.